Molecule: ribosomal RNA, 496 nt
Filed under: uncultured bacterium
Lineage: Bacteria
Description: partial 16S ribosomal RNA
Rfam family: Bacterial small subunit ribosomal RNA
Source: RNAcentral
AUGAACGCUGGCGGCGUGCCUAAUACAUGCAAGUCGAGCGAACAGAUGAGGAGCUUGCUCCUCUGACGUUAGCGGCGGACGGGUGAGUAACACGUGGAUAACCUACCUAUAAGACUGGGAUAACUUCGGGAAACCGGAGCUAAUACCGGAUAAUAUAUUGAACCGCAUGGUUCAAUAGUGAAAGACGGUUUUGCUGUCACUUAUAGAUGGAUCCGCGCCGCAUUAGCUAGUUGGUAAGGUAACGGCUUACCAAGGCAACGAUGCGUAGCCGACCUGAGAGGGUGAUCGGCCACACUGGAACUGAGACACGGUCCAGACUCCUACGGGAGGCAGCAGUAGGGAAUCUUCCGCAAUGGGCGAAAGCCUGACGAAGCAACGCCGCGUGAGUGAUGAAGGUCUUCGGAUCGUAAAACUCUGUUAUUAGGGAAGAACAAAUGUGUAAGUAACUAUGCACGUCUUGACGGUACCUAAUCAGAAAGCCACGGCUAACUACGUG